Molecule: ribosomal RNA, 427 nt
Filed under: uncultured bacterium
Lineage: Bacteria
Description: bacterial SSU rRNA
Rfam family: Bacterial small subunit ribosomal RNA
Source: RNAcentral
UGGGGAAUAUUGCGCAAUGGACGAAAGUCUGACGCAGCGACGCCGCGUGAGGGAUGAAGGUCUUCGGAUCGUAAACCUCUGUCAGAGGGGAAGAAACUACGGGGUGCUAAUCAGCUCCGUACUGACGGUACCCUCAAAGGAAGCACCGGCUAACUCCGUGCCAGCAGCCGCGGUAAUACGGAGGAUGCAAGCGUUAUCCGGAUUUAUUGGGUUUAAAGGGUGCGUAGGUGGUCUUUUAAGUCAGCGGUGAAAGUUUGUGGCUCAACCAUAAAAUUGCCGUUGAAACUGGAUGACUUGAGUGUGUCUGGGGCAGGCGGAAUGCGUGGUGUAGCGGUGAAAUGCUUAGAUAUCAGGAGGAACAUCGGUGGCGAAAGCGCUUUACUGGACGAUAACUGACGCUGAGGCGCGAAAGCGUGGGGAGCAAACA